This 305-nucleotide ribosomal RNA is filed under the name uncultured bacterium. Its description in RNAcentral is "bacterial SSU rRNA". It matches the Rfam family "Bacterial small subunit ribosomal RNA", at positions 337 to 658 of the family's 1533-position model. The record is from RNAcentral.
CCCUACGGGACGCAGCAGUCGGGAAUAUUGCACAAUGGAGGAAACUCUGAUGCAGUGACACCGCGUAUAGGAAGAAGGUUUUCGGAUUGUAAACUAUUUUAGACAGGGAAGAAAAAAGACAGUACCUGUAGAAUAAGCUCCGGCUAAAUACGUGCCAGCAGCCGCGGUAAUACGUAUGGUGCAAGCGUUAUCCGGAUUUACUGGGUGUAAAGGGAGCGCAGGCGGCGCGUUAAGCCUGGUGUGAAAGCCCGCGGCCCAACCGCGGGACUGCAUUGGGAACUGGCGCGCUGGAGUGCCGGAGGGGG